Molecule: ribosomal RNA, 254 nt
Filed under: uncultured bacterium
Lineage: Bacteria
Description: partial 16S ribosomal RNA
Rfam family: Bacterial small subunit ribosomal RNA
Source: RNAcentral
UACGUAGGGGGGCAAGCGUUGUCCGGAAUCAUUGGGCGUAAAGCGCGUGUAGGCGGUCCGGUAAGUCCGCUGUGAAAGUCGGGGGCUUAACCCUCGGAUGCCGGUGGAUACUGUCGGGCUCGAGUACGGAAGAGGCGAGUGGAAUUCCUGGUGUAGCGGUGAAAUGCGUAGAUAUCAGGAGGAAUACCGGUGGUGUAGACGGCUCUCUGGACCGCCACUGACGCUGAGACACGAAAGCGUGGGUAGCAAACAGG